Passer domesticus (house sparrow) is the source of this 3470-nucleotide long non-coding RNA. RefSeq lists it as uncharacterized. The record is from RefSeq and is a predicted model, not a curated record. The transcript has 3 exons. NCBI's taxonomy places the organism in Eukaryota, Metazoa, Chordata, Aves, Passeriformes, Passeridae.
UGUGGCUGCAACCUGCUGCCUCCCAAAAUCCAAAUAAUCAUCUCCUUUCCCUGCAGAGCUAAACGGGAGUCUAGGGUUUGUGACUCAUGCAUCCUGUUUUCAGCAGUGCCACUUAUAUGCUGAAAAAGCCCUGGAAAGUAUUUCACUGAGGUUGUGACCCAAUUUUCUCCCCAUAGAAAGGGAAUAAUAUCGUGGGCCAAACUGUCUCACAGAGGUGUUCUCUGGCUUCAGUGUUUACAAGUCCUUUGGAGUCUUAGUUAUGGGAAAGACAAUGUAUUGCUUCUUCAUCCAAAACUGAAGGUCAAAGUUGUGGAAAUAUUCCUUGUUUCACUGCCUGAAUUAGAUUUACAGAAGAACUCUUGGUGAACCAUUUUUUAACACAAGAAAAAUGGGCUACUUUCAGUGUUCUUCAAACUGGGAUCUUCCAAAUCACCCCAGAAAUCACACCAUGAUGUUCUGGAGAAGUCUUGAGUGAUUUAUGGAGAGAUAGUGAAGCAGGCAGUUUUUUCUCAACUCAGACUGUCAGGAUUGUGUCUGUAGCAGAACACAAUGAGCCAGGGAUGGUUCUUUGGCCUGGAGAACAAAGAGCAUGGCAUGACUCAGCCAUGGGGCUGAGCUCAGCCUCCUCCCCUCCCAAAGAGCCAAGACACCUUGGCCAUGCUGCCUGGUGGAAACAAUUGACCUUUGCUAUCUCUCAGACCAUGCUGAAGCAAAUCUGAGAGAGGAGAAGCUGGCAAGAGCCAAACCCAUGUUUGUGAGCAGGCUAGUAAUGGUGUGGGCAGCACUGACCAGGCUUGUGCUCUGGUCCAUAUCAUUUAUCAAUAUAGACAGGACCCAUGCAGGGUGUUUAGCUUUCCCUGAGAACUCAUCCCAGGGAAUGUGGAGGAAUCUUUAGGAACUGGUGCAUUCCAUUGUUCUACCUCUGAGUGGUUUAGGAGGAUGUGGAUUAUGUACAUCCUGUGAUGUAAUGGCAGCUAACCCAGUAGUCUUUGGUGGAGUUGUGGGAAUGUUCCAGUUCUGAUGCUUUAUCCGGGAGAAAUUUUGCAACAUUAGGCUUCUAUAGGCAACCACCACUUGUCUGUGGGUUAUGAAUGAUGCUCGCAAGGAUGAAUGCCUGAUGCUGCACCCAGCUGGGUGAAUGUGAAUCAGGUGCAGCUCAGGAGGACUCUUCUGGCUGAAGGCAGAGGGAGGCCCAAAGAGAGGUCACUGGAUUAGGAGAGGCUGGGAGACUUCCAAGGUACCUGGCAGGAUGCAUCCUUAGGAAACAAUAAUAGAACUGGGGAUUACAAAGCCUUUGCAGGCAUUACAGAGAAGUGGCAACACAGGAAAGUGAUCCAGGGGCGGGCACUUGUGUAACGUGAGUGGAAGUUAUUCAACAUUCCUUGAGGAAGCACAGCACCAGCACAGCUCAGUAUCAAGACAAAUAUCCCUGUCAAGCUGAAAGGGAAGAUAAUGCUGGUUGCCAUUUUGUAUUGUUUCUCUUUGUGAAGUUUUGCUGAUUUUGCUUUCCCCAGCCUGCCUUUGAAAUAACAGCACAACUAAAAAUAACCUCACAUUUGGGCCUUAAAAUGUCUCCGUGACACAGGGUCAAACAAUAAUGGGCAUUUCCUACUCUAUAACCUUUGUAGCAGGCAGAAGGAAAAGUGUUCAAAAGGGGCAUUGCUGCAGGGGUCAACCUGAAACAUUUGACCCUGAACUAGUUUAGUUCCUAAAUUCUCCAUCCAGGAGAAGGUCUGUGGAAGCCUGUGAGACACCAGUUUUCUGUAAGCUGAAUUUCCCUCUGUGCUAUUUAUAACUGUUCCCAUGUUUCACUGUGUAAUAGCAGUGUUUGCAAAUGCCUGUGCAAUUAAACCCUUCCCAGCUGUGUUCUGGGAGCUGGGUCCUGGAAAACAGAGCCCACGAUGCAGAAAGGCCUCAUCAGCCUGAAGAGUUUUGGUCUGUUAAUUGCUGAUAUCCACUGGAGUGGCUUGGUGUCAGAAUGCCUGUGGUCUGAUCCACGGCCCUGCUGCUGGGCUGGGUGGAGUUUAGAGGGACUCACUGCACUUGUGAACCUCAGUUUACCACUAGGAUACUGAAAUGGUGGGAAAUCUCUCUUAAAUCACAUUUCUCAUAAUUUUACACUGGGUCUCUUUGGAAUUGAAAAGCCAUUGAGGAGUCAUUCUGUUCUUCUCUUUUGGGGGUACAUACCACAUAUAUUUUUUAUACACUGGUCUCUCAUCAGAAAUUAAUUGCAAAAAGAAUGCUUUGUUAUACCCUCACCAGUACAUCAGUCAGUGUUCAAUAGCUCUGGCAUUUUUAAGUGAUUCCUGUGCUUUCUCAAUAGAAUACUCCUCUUUUCCUGCUUCUGACUGUGGAAAAAGUGAAUUCAAGGACGAUAUUAAACAAUGCACCUAAAAUACUGAUCUUUCCUCUCUCCUCUCUGUACAGAGGUCUCUUGAAAUGAAAACUAUUUUCUGUCCGUGCUUUCUCUUUAAUCUUUGAGUACUGAAUUUAUUGGUUCCCUCAGUAGUAUGCACAAGCCUAACUCCCCAGUCUGCCCACAGCUACUGCCUUUGAGCCCUUCAGAGGCUCUACCUUCAACCUAGUAUUUUACUUUGGAGACCCUGCAUGACUUGGAGAUACUCUUCCCUCUUGGCUUAUCAUAAAAGUGAUUCUUCCCACUCAUUCUCUUGUAUUUUCUUGCUGCUUCAUCUGGAAUGCAAAUAUGUACCAGGAGCCCAAACCUUCCUUUGAAUUCCCCAGUAUCACACAAAGGGUGGUCAGAAUUGGUUUUCAGUGGAUAAUGAAGUUUUCGACUACUGACAUUUUUUGUAGAAAAUGUUAUGAAAUCUGCAUGGCUCCAUCUUUUACAUGAAAAACUAAGAAACCAAAGAAUGAAAUUUUUCUGGGCCAGAAGGAGAAAAAAACCUAAACAAACCAACAAACAAAUCCUUGAGGCUUGAAGGGUUUGUUUCUUCUCCAAACCAACAUUUCUUCUCUUUGCUUUCAUGGAUAUGUUUUUUCUGUCUAUAUUUUUACUUAGACCUGUGUGGGACAUGUUUUGUUAAGGCUUCAACAUGUAGUUCAGGUCAAAAGGGAGUCACUGACCACUGCUGCAUUUCUGCAGAUUAUUCUGUUUAACUUCUCAGUCACUACGUGUGCCAGGAUGUGAAUUAAUCCAUGCUAAAGCACUUCAGGUUCCCUCAAGUGUAAAAGCAUCCAUGGAAAUCCAAACUCUUCUGUUCCCUGGUGAUCAGCAUUGAAAAAUGCAAGGAGUCUAGUGGGAUUUAAGUGAUUUAUGAAAUAUAAACCCUGAUACCCUGCGGUGUGAAUGGAACACAUUGUCUCAGUCUUGGGGGCACGAGGAACACAGCUCUGCAUGUUUUGGCAGUACAAGGAGAGAGGGAUGGAGCUGAUCCCCAGCUCACCUCCCAAACUGAGAUCUGCAGGGCUGUGGGGAGGAAACACUGAAACAAGCAGCCCCAUGCAAC